Molecule: ribosomal RNA, 440 nt
Filed under: uncultured bacterium
Lineage: Bacteria
Description: bacterial SSU rRNA
Rfam family: Bacterial small subunit ribosomal RNA
Source: RNAcentral
CCUACGGGGCGCACCAGUGGGGAAUAUUGGACAAUGGGCGAAAGCCUGAUCCAGCAAUGCCGCGUGUGUGAAGAAGGUCUUCGGAUUGUAAAGCACUUUCGACGGGGACGAUGAUGACGGUACCCGUAGAACAAGCCCCGGCUAACUUCGUGCCAGCGGCCGCGGUAAUACGAAGGGGGCUAGCGUUGCUCGGAAUGACUGGGCGUAAAGGGCGCGUAGGCGGUUUAUGCAGUCAGAUGUGAAAUCCCCGGGCUCAACCUGGGAACUGCAUUUGAGACGCAUAGACUAGAGGUCGAGAGAGGGUUGUGGAAUUCCCAGUGUAGAGGUGAAAUUCGUAGAUAUUGGGAAGAACACCGGUGGCGAAGGCGGCAACCUGGCUCGAUAUUGACGCUGAGGCGCGAAAGCGUGGGGAGCAAACAGGAUUAGAUACCCCUGUAGUC